CCUACGGGUGGCAGCAGUGAGGAAUAUUGGUCAAUGGCCGAGAGGCUGAACCAGCCAAGUCGCGUGAGGGAAGACGGCCCUACGGGUUGUAAACCUCUUUUGUCGGGGAGCAAAGCGAACCACGUGUGGUUCAUUGAGAGUACCCGAAGAAAAAGCAUCGGCUAACUCCGUGCCAGCAGCCGCGGUAAUACGGAGGAUGCGAGCGUUAUCCGGAUUUAUUGGGUUUAAGGGGUGCGUAGGUUGUUUUAUAAGUUAGCGGUGAAAUACCGAUGCUCAACAUCGGGGCUGCCGCUGAUACUGUAGGACUAGAGAUCGGAUGCAGCAGGCGGAAUGUGUAGUGUAGCGGUGAAAUGCAUAGAUAUUACACAGAACACCGAUUGCGAAGGCAGCUUGCUAGGCCGGAUCUGACACUGAUGCACGAAAGCGUGGGGAUCGAACAGGAUUAGAUACCCCAGUAGUC
This 460-nucleotide ribosomal RNA is filed under the name uncultured bacterium. RNAcentral describes it as "partial 16S ribosomal RNA". It matches the Rfam family "Bacterial small subunit ribosomal RNA", at positions 338 to 795 of the family's 1533-position model. The record is from RNAcentral.